RNAcentral lists this long non-coding RNA (2474 nucleotides) under Mus musculus (house mouse). RNAcentral's name for it is "long non-coding RNA chr9:69138545-69141019". The record is from RNAcentral. Lineage: Eukaryota; Metazoa; Chordata; Mammalia; Rodentia; Muridae.
AGAUUUCCUGGAGGAGCUUUCCAGAGGCAAAGCUACCCAUUAGAUCCAGGCUGGGGCCCUGAUCCAGGCUGGGUUAUGUCCCCAAAUAGAUAUGCAAACAUUCUGAUCCCCAACACCUCAGGAUAUGACUGUAUUUAGAACAAGGCCACUUAGCACAGAAUAGUUACAUUAAAAACGAGGCCAGACCCAUGGCAGAGUGGUCCCUCAUCACCGUAGAAAGAGGGAACUCUCAAGACAGAUGUGCGAGUCGGAAAAAUGUAACAUCAAGUUGAGAGUUUAGAGUUCAGCUUCCACUAAUCAAGAAGUUGGAAAACCUAGAGAACAGACCCCCCCCCCCAACUGCCUCCCAAGAGAGCAUGGCCCUACCAUGACUUUGCUUGGACUUGGAUUUGUAGCCUUGAUAUGUGCAGAGGAAAUACUUUUUUUUUCUUUAAGAUGCCUGGCCUGAGCCACAUUGUUACAGCGGCCCUAGGAGCUAUCUGAUUUCAAAUCAGAACGAGAAGUAACUCUUACUGUGAAAUUCAGCCCCUGUUAUAUUUGAAUAGACAUCCAAUGAUAAAUGACAUGUGUGUGUUCAUACAUGUAUAUGUGUGAAGACUAGACGCCAACCCCAGUUCUCAUUCCUCUAGCACUGCCCGCUUUGUUUUAUGGGACAUAGGGUCUCUCAUUGGCCUGGAGUUCAUGAAGUAGGGGAGGCUGGGUGGUCAGUGCAACCCGGUCUUCAACUCCCUAGUCCUGGGGCUCCCCUCAUACACCACAAUCAACAGCUUUGUCGCAUGAGUUCUAGAGACUGCAGUUGGGUCCUCUUGCUUGUACAACAAGCGUUUUGCUGGCUGAGCCUGAUGACCUAUCUCUACAGUCUCUACAAAUGCAAUCAGAGAGUGUUUUUAUAAAGGAGUAAGAGACUUGUGAAUGCAGAAAUACCCCUCCCAGUGCCCUCCCAAUCCAUGAUGCAUUCCUGAAGCACUGAAUUAAUUUAGAAAAGACAGGAGGUCUUGGAACCUGUGGUUAAGAAGGAAAUCAGCCCAGGGUUCUAAAGAAUAGCAAAGAGACCGUCCUCUGGCCUGGCUGGUCCUCGUCCCUCCUAUUAACGGAGCUCUGCAUUUGCUUUCUGUAAAGGAGCCAGAACAGCUCUAUAUGAACUUUACAGAUGCUCUAAUCUUUUUUUAAAGUUAUAUAUUUUAAAUUAUUUCAUUGGGAGAGUUGGUGGUGAGUAUCACAGAGUAUAUGUGGUGGUCUGAGGACAACUUGCAGGGGUCAGUUUUCUCCUUCCACCCUGGUGGUUCAGUAGAUUGAACUCAGGUCGUCAGGCUUAGCAGCAAGUGCCUUUAACCUGCUGAGCCAUCUAGCCAGCCCUGAUGCUCUGAUCUUGCUGAAGUGCAGGGUCCAUCAUGAUCUCUGUUUCUCCCUGGAGAAACUGCCUGCUUCCCUGAAAUGAAAAGGUAGAGGUUAAAACUAGGUCUGUGUUCCCUCACCCGGCUCCCAGUAGGACUUUCUCCUCAGCCGUCGCUCCACAUCACUUUCAAAGGCUGUAUGACUUAUUUACGACCCAAUCCUGUAGAAAUAAUAUGCACUCCAGUGGCACUUGUAACCAUUAUACUAUUACUCAGUGAAAACCCAUCAAAAUGGACCCGCUCCAGUCCUCACAGAAGAUAGCAGAUUCACUAAUUAGGACUUGACCUUGUGUUGUGCUAAAUCAGCUAGCCCAAGCCCCGGGAGCCCCUUGCCCCGUCUAGUAGUCAGAACAAGCUGACAAGCCAAACUAAACAGGAGGUCACGGUCAAAUUCACCAAUGCCUAAAUCACUAGCAAGAGCCAGAUCCAGUGGAGGGCUUGUUAUAAACAAAUCCCACACUUCCGGAACCAGUAGGUGGAGGAGGGGCAUUCCCACCCCUGCUGGACCAGGGCCUGUCCUCUGAGCAUCUUGCUCUGGAUUUUUGUCUCUAAAUUGGUCUUCUUUGCUGGUGUUGGAAAGACAACACUGUCCUGCGGUUUUUAACAGAUGGUAAACAGAGGAGGUACCCCAGAAGUUACAGAGCCAGAGAAGACACCGUCACCAUCUCCAAAGGCCUCUUCAAUCUGUUUACAAGAACAUUCGAGAGUAAGGACAACAGAGUUGACAGGGGUAUCCAAUUUUUGUAUCACUCACCAAACACAUUCCCCUACAAACCGAGUAUGACGCAAAGCUCUGGGGUAACGGCCCUGUAAGAGUUUAGGUUUCAACGUACACUGACAUGAGACACUUCAGAAAGGCUGCAGAGAUGGGGUCCAAGAUGACCUCAAAGGAGGAGGGGCAACUAAUCAAAGUGUUGCAGGUUUCUGCCACCUGCCUUGACUCCUCACUACUGUACAUCUUCAGGCGUGAAUGCCUGCCCUGAGCAAGGGGGAAGAGUGCCAAGAUGGUUUACCCAGUAGAGCUGAUACAGGGAUGAAAAUGCGUCCUCAAAUCACUAUAUUACAUCAUAGACAGGGUCC